GGCACUAUUUUUUAAACCUAUUGAUGGAAAUUUUUACCACAUUAGGUUACGCUGUAGUGCCAAAGAAUCCCUUAGCUCCUGUCCUUGCAUAGCUGACGGUCCAUUCGGCUCGUGCUUUGGUGGUUGUGUUAAGGUACAUAA
Molecule: small nucleolar RNA, 141 nt
Organism: Monodelphis domestica (gray short-tailed opossum)
Lineage: Eukaryota; Metazoa; Chordata; Mammalia; Didelphimorphia; Didelphidae
Source: Ensembl